CCUACGGGUGACUGCAGUGGGGAAUAUUGGACAAUGGGGGGAACCCUGAUCCAGCCAUGCCGCGUGUGUGAAGAAGGCCCUCGGGUUGUAAAGCACUUUCAGUGAGGAAGAACGCCUGGUGGUUAAUACCCAUCAGGAAAGACAUCACUCACAGAAGAAGCACCGGCUAACUCCGUGCCAGCAGCCGCGGUAAUACGGAGGGUGCGAGCGUUAAUCGGAAUUACUGGGCGUAAAGCGCGCGUAGGUGGCUUGAUAAGCCGGUUGUGAAAGCCCCGGGCUCAACCUGGGAACGGCAUCCGGAACUGUCAAGCUAGAGUGCAGGAGAGGAAGGUAGAAUUCCCGGUGUAGCGGUGAAAUGCGUAGAGAUCGGGAGGAAUACCAGUGGCGAAGGCGGCCUUCUGGACUGACACUGACACUGAGGUGCGAAAGCGUGGGUAGCAAACAGGAUUAGAUACCCUGGUAGUC
This 465-nucleotide ribosomal RNA is filed under the name Vreelandella stevensii. RNAcentral's name for it is "partial 16S ribosomal RNA". It matches the Rfam family "Bacterial small subunit ribosomal RNA", at positions 338 to 795 of the family's 1533-position model. Lineage: Bacteria; Pseudomonadati; Pseudomonadota; Gammaproteobacteria; Oceanospirillales; Halomonadaceae. The record is from RNAcentral.